GCCUAAAGAGAAGCUUGCGGCUGAUUAGCUUGUUGGUGAGGUAAUGGCUCACCAAGGCGACGAUCAGUAUCUGGUUUGAGAGGAUGAUCAGACACACUGGAACUGAGACACGGUCCAGACUCCUACGGGGGGCAGCAGUGGGGAAUUUUCCGCAAUGGGCGAAAGCCUGACGGAGCAAUCUCGCGUGAGGGAUGACGGCCUAUGGGUUGUAAACCUCUUUUUUCAGGGAGGAACAAAAUGACGUGUACCUGAAGAAUAAGCAUCGGCUAACUCCGUGCCAGCAGCCGCGGUAAGACGGAGGAUGCAAGUGUUAUCCGGAAUCACUGGGCGUAAAGCGUCUGUAGGUGGUUUAAUAAGUCAACUGUUAAAUCUUGAGGCUCAACUUCAAAAUCGCAGUCGAAACUAUUAGACUAGAGUAUAGUAGAGGUAAAGGGAAUUUCCAGUGGAGCGGUGAAAUGCGUAGAUAUUG
RNAcentral lists this ribosomal RNA (469 nucleotides) under uncultured diatom. Its description in RNAcentral is "SSU rRNA". It matches the Rfam family "Bacterial small subunit ribosomal RNA", at positions 217 to 699 of the family's 1533-position model. The record is from RNAcentral. Lineage: Eukaryota; Bacillariophyta.